GGGCUAUAGCUCAGCAAGGUAGAGCACCUCGUUUACACACCGAGAAGGUCUACGGUUCGAGCCCGUAUAGCCCUA
This 75-nucleotide transfer RNA is filed under the name Ginkgo biloba (maidenhair tree). Its description in RNAcentral is "tRNA-Val". It matches the Rfam family "tRNA". Rfam says of the family: Transfer RNA (tRNA) molecules are approximately 80 nucleotides in length. Their secondary structure includes four short double-helical elements and three loops (D, anti-codon, and T loops). RNAcentral also lists the same sequence under 19 other names. Lineage: Eukaryota; Viridiplantae; Streptophyta; Ginkgoopsida; Ginkgoales; Ginkgoaceae. The record is from RNAcentral.